Molecule: long non-coding RNA, 516 nt
Organism: Hirundo rustica (Barn swallow)
Lineage: Eukaryota; Metazoa; Chordata; Aves; Passeriformes; Hirundinidae
Exons: 3
Source: RefSeq, a predicted model, not a curated record
UCCGUGCGGCGGCCGCUGACAGCUCCCCCCGCGCCGCCCAGAAACUCCUGCCUCAACUCCGCGUGUGCGCGGGGGGUGCGGGGGUGUCCUCCCCGCCACCCGCCGAGAACCGUGUUUGCCUUCCCAAAAAGAGGAGGGGAAGGGGGGGGCAUAACAAGGGAAAGCGACGAGGAACUACCGUCAGCGCACAGGGAGUACCCGGGCGACGCUGAAGGCGGCCGAGCGUCCUAGCAGGGAGCGGACCCAAAAAGAAGGGGGAAGUCAGCAGGACGAGAGAGACACAUGGAUGAUGAUGAUGAGGAUGAAGAUGAGGAUGGUGAUGGGGAUCCCGAUGCUCCUCCUGCUCCCGCGGCUCCUCUCCUCCUCACCUCCGCCUCCUCCACCUCCGCCUCGCAUCGCUGGCCUCAGCCGCCGCCGACCAGCACAGUGCGACACAUAGACACAGCGACCGCCCGCCCUCCUCCUCCUCCCCUGCCGCGGCCCCACACUGCGCCUGCCCCGCCCGCCCACCGCCCG